This 117-nucleotide ribosomal RNA is filed under the name Nocardia farcinica. RNAcentral describes it as "partial 16S ribosomal RNA". It matches the Rfam family "Bacterial small subunit ribosomal RNA", at positions 1 to 120 of the family's 1533-position model. The record is from RNAcentral. Lineage: Bacteria; Bacillati; Actinomycetota; Actinomycetes; Mycobacteriales; Nocardiaceae. RNAcentral also lists the same sequence under 3 other names.
UCAACGGAGAGUUUGAUCCUGGCUCAGGACGAACGCUGGCGGCGUGCUUAACACAUGCAAGUCGAGCGGUAAGGCCCUUCGGGGUACACGAGCGGCGAACGGGUGAGUAACACGUGG